RNAcentral lists this long non-coding RNA (1644 nucleotides) under Salvia miltiorrhiza (redroot sage). Its description in RNAcentral is "long non-coding RNA (SMIL_LNC004846)". The record is from RNAcentral. Lineage: Eukaryota; Viridiplantae; Streptophyta; Magnoliopsida; Lamiales; Lamiaceae.
GAGAAUGAUAAAUAUGUAGAGAAAGAAGAAUUAAUCUGGAGCCUCCAAAAUUAUCAAUCAAAGGGCCGAUUUUUUUUCUGGUUCUUUUCCUUAAUUACAGCCGAAAGGCUAUAUAUGUAAUUCAAUAUUUUGAUGCAGUCGCUAAUUAUGGAUUACAAAUCUUUAAUUAUCUUUUUAACUUUGGUAAGAUAUUAUCUUUCCAUAUCUUCUUAUUUUUUUAUUUUUUUUCGUCCAUUAUCUUUAAUUAUUAUUAACAAUUUCUUUCUCUCUCCAGUCUCUCCAUGUCAGUAAGAAAAAAUUUGUAUAUUUUAUUUAGCUGUUCGUAAUUUGUUUAUGCUUGUUCAAAAUAUUUUAGGCUUGUUCGAAAUGCUUUAUGUUAAAUAUUUUAUGUUAGUAAGAGAAAUUCAAAUAAUUUAUUUAGGUGUUCGUAAUUGUUUAAAGCAUGUUCAAAAUAUUUUAUGUUAAAAAAACAAAACAAAAAAAUCAGAUUUUACAGCAGAAACGGAAAUAAAAGUGAUUUGUCGAGAACAUAAAUGAACAGAACACAAUUUAUAAAUGAACAGAACACAAUUUCUAAAUGAACGGAUAUAUUCAGAUUUACUGGAAGCAUUAAUAUCCCCAAAAUUCCAAAAUUGAUCAUUCAAUUUGACGAAAAGAAAAUAACAGUGCAGAUUAAGGCCAAAGACUAGACAAUGGAGCUGCGUUUUCGAAAGACAUUCAAGGAACCGGAUAUUCUGGGCUUCAACAUCAACGAGGGUGAAGGUGAAGGCUCAUCUUCUUCUUUCUUGGGCAUUGACAUAAAUCGAAAAAAAAAACUGAGAACAUAAAUAGAGAAAAAAAAAUCAGAUUUCAUAGCAGAAACGAAAAUAAAAGCGAUUCGCCGAUAACAUAAAUGAACAGAACACAAUUUAUAAAUGAACAUAAUACAAUUUAUAAAUGAACAGAUAUAUUCAGAUUUAAUGAACACAUAAUAUCCCCAAAAUUCCAAAAUUGCUCAUUCAAUUUGACGAAAAAGAAAAUAGCAGUGAUGAUUCACCCUUGCUCAUAAAACACUAGUUUUAACAAAGAAGACUUUUUGCAAACAAGGAAAACCAAGAUUUACAGUAGUGUAUUUUGGACAUAGCUUUCGAAAGGGAGUGGGCUACUUCCCUGCUCUGGAAUCGAGGAGGACAACGCGACGACGAAGCUUCCAUCACGCGUCGGGGCUCGAAGAAUCGCUGAAGAUGGCGGACCUUCCCCUGGUAUCGAAGCUUUCUCAAGGGAGGAGAAGACCUCCGGCGCGUAGGCAUCGACGUCGCCAGAGAGAAGGGCGCAGCUUUGUCGGAUUUCGACAGAGACGGCGACAAUCUUCGAUUUGGGAGAAACUAGGGCUCGAUGUGGAAAGGAAGAAACUCGCCUGUGAAUUCGGAGGGGAACUUCAGAGAGAGAUUGAUGUGGACGAAGGAGAAGCGGCGAAGCGCCGACUCGCCGGAUUGCGGAGCGGCGGCGGCGGGCGCCUCGACGAAAGGCGGAGCUAGAGAGAGAGAGAGAGAGAGAUAUGGCAGAGUGGAAUUUUCAGAGAGAGAUUGAUGCGGAACAGAUAUAUUCUUCCAUUUUUUGUUAAUCUACAAAAGUUACUCAAAUACCCAUUAGUAAUUAAAUUGG